CGCGCAAAUUACCCAAUUCUAACAGUUUGAGAGAGGUAGUAACAAGAAAUAACAAUACAAGGCAAUUAAAAUGCUUUGUAAUUGGAAUGAUAGAAAUUUAAACCCUUUUUAAAGUAUCAAUUGGAGGGCAAGUCUGGUGCCAGCAGCCGCGGUAAUUCCAGCUCCAAUAGCGUAUAUUAAAAUUGUUGCAGUUAAAAAGCUCGUAGUUGAAGUUCUGCUAAAAGUAACCGGUCUGCUUUUAAUAAAAGUGGUAUCUUGGUGUGUAUUUAGCAAUGAUGUCCUUUGAAGUGUUUUUUACUUUAUUGUAAUAAAGCAUAUUCAGGACUUUUACUUUGAGAAAAUUAGAGUGUUUCUAGCAGGCCGACGCUUUGAAUACUGCAGCAUGGAAUAAUAAGAUAGGAUUUUAGUUCUACAUUAUUGGUUUUAAGAGCUAAAUUAAUGAUUGAUAGGGACAGUUGGGGGCAUUUGUAUUUAACUGUCAGAGGUGAAAUUCUUAGAUUUGUUAAAGACAAACUACUGCGAAAGCAUUUGCCAAAGAUGUUUUCAUUAAUCAAGAACGAAAGUUAGGGGAUCGAAGACGAUCAGAUACCGUCGUAGUCUUAACUAUAAACUAUGCCGACUAGAGAUUGGAGGUCGUCUUUAUAAACGACUCCUUCAGCACCUUA
This 665-nucleotide ribosomal RNA is filed under the name Hepatozoon canis. RNAcentral describes it as "bacterial SSU rRNA". It matches the Rfam family "Eukaryotic small subunit ribosomal RNA", at positions 433 to 1090 of the family's 1831-position model. The record is from RNAcentral. Lineage: Eukaryota; Apicomplexa; Hepatozoidae.